This 488-nucleotide ribosomal RNA is filed under the name uncultured bacterium. RNAcentral's name for it is "bacterial SSU rRNA". It matches the Rfam family "Bacterial small subunit ribosomal RNA", at positions 337 to 816 of the family's 1533-position model. The record is from RNAcentral.
UCCUACGGGAGGCAGCAGUGGGGAAUUUUGCGCAAUGGGCGGAAGCCUGACGCAGCAAUACCGCGUGAGUGAUGAAGGCUCUCGGGUCGUAAAGCUCUGUCAGAGGGGAAGAACCUCCUGUCGCCUAAUAAGCGGCAGGCCUGACGGUACCCUCAGAGGAAGCACCGGCUAACUCUGUGCCAGCAGCCGCGGUAAUACAGAGGGUGCGAGCGUUAAUCGGAAUUAUUGGGCGUAAAGGGUGCGUAGGUGGUUAGAUAAGUUAGAUGUGAAAGCCCUGGGCUUAACCUGGGAAUUGCGUUUGAUACUGUCUGGCUAGAGUACUGUAGAGGGAAGUAGAAUUUCCGGUGUAGCGGUGAAAUGCGUAGAUAUCGGAAGGAAUACCAGUGGCGAAGGCGACUUCCUGGACAGAUACUGACACUGAGGCACGAAAGCGUGGGGAGCAAACAGGAUUAGAUACCCUGGUAGUCCACGCCGUAAACGAUGAUAAC